Long non-coding RNA from Rhinolophus ferrumequinum (greater horseshoe bat), 381 nucleotides. RefSeq lists it as uncharacterized. NCBI's taxonomy places the organism in Eukaryota, Metazoa, Chordata, Mammalia, Chiroptera, Rhinolophidae. The record is from RefSeq and is a predicted model, not a curated record. The transcript has 4 exons.
UUAGGGGUAGGCCCGGCCUCCCACGCAACACGCCUCCUCCAAUCUCCGCGAUUGGAUCCGUUGGAAUCUCUUAGGCCUCCCGGGCAGCCGGGCUGCUUCCUCCCUACUUCAGGUUAAAUGUUUCAGACAGUUCAAGCUCAAGGGAGAGAUGAAUGAAGGACACUGGAGGGACCCCUCUGACCAUGCCUGAUGGAGACCUGAACCCGGAUAAGAAUUGCCCUUCAUCUUGUCAGCAACACUUUUAGCUCCCGCCUCGAUCCACCACGUGAAGGAGACCAGGGACAUCUCCAGGUUCCUGAACUCAGGCUCAGUCUCAGUGCUGGCACCUCUAUCUGUUAAAACCGACACCAGACAGGUUAAUGCUGACAGCUGGGGUACCUG